UUAAUUAUCCCUAAUAUAUAGACCGCGACGUUGACGGGCACCGGGUUAAUCCAAAACAAAUAUUAAAUUAACAAAAAUGACUACGCUGCGACCAUUUACCUGUGAUGACCUUUUUAAAUUUAAUAACGUGAACUUUGAUCCGCUUACAGAAACAUACGGUCUCUCGUUUUACACACAAUAUCUGGCCAAAUGGCCCGAAUACUUUCAGCUGGCCGAAUCGCCCAGCGAGCACAUCAUGGGCUACAUCAUGGGCAAGGUUGAGGGACAUAUGGACAAUUGGCACGGACAUGUGACUGCGCUGACUGUCUCGCCCGACUACAGGCGCUUGGGUCUGGCGGCGCUGCUGAUGAGCUUCCUGGAAGACAUAUCGGAAAAGAAACGCGCCUACUUUGUGGAUCUGUUUGUGCGCAAAAGCAAUAAGGUGGCCAUCAACAUGUAUACAAAUCUGGGCUAUAUUAUAUAUCGCACCAUACUCGAGUACUACUCGGGUGACCAGGACGAGGAUGCGUAUGAUAUGCGUAAGGCGCUGUCCCGAGACGUGAACAAGAAAUCGGUUAUACCGUACACACAGCCUGUACGAUUGGAAGAUAUAGAUAUGAAUUGAUAUCCACCCAAUACUGCCCGCAUUCGCAUUUAUGUUUAACUGAACAUCAUGAUAAUUUACCAUAUACGAUUGCCACAAAAUUGCAUUCAGUUCGGCGUCGUGCUGCCGUUCUUCCAAAAUUUUAGUUAAUCAAUUAUCAAGCAACAACAGCAACAAAAAAAAUUGUAUCUAAUCCGGAGUUCUUAAGUUUGCCGUUACACACACACACACACACACACACACACACACACACACACACAGACAGACACAAAGUUCUAAAUCCCCAAUCUAUUGCUAACCUCUCGAAACCCAAAACCCGUACAAAUCCAAAAGAUACCCCCAAAAAAAAGAAAGAAAGAACAAAUUCCAAGUUGGAUUACAAUCGAUAUUGCGUUCAUGUAAUCCGUUGUUAUGUUAAUAAUACUUAUUAUAUAUAUUUCUAUAUGACUUUGUUAUCAGUUUUAAAAAUGACAAGCCGAUUGUAACUACUGAACUUCAAGAUAACAAUGCGCGAGUUGCGCCACCAAAUGCGGCACGAGGCUUAGUCCGCAUCGAGGAUAUAUCUUCUAUAUACCCAACAGAUCAUCUGGAUAGGAUCAGGCUGCCUUUUUCUUUGUUUAGCAACAAAAUUAUAUUGAAAAUUUGUAGUUUUGCAAGCGAAUACACACACAUGUUUAUAAAUUGAUAUCAAUGUACUAGCAGUUAUUACCCGGCGUUGCGCGGGCAUAGAUUGAGACUAGAUGUUUUUCGAACUGAAAUCAACAACAAAUCGAUAUAUUAAGCUUUUGUGGCUGAUCUUGUGUAACUCAUCAAUCUGUCAUUUCUUCAGUCAGUUAAAUCAACUAAAUUAUUCAUAUAUAUAUAUCUUUGUGUGUGUGUGUGUGUGUGUCGUUUGCAUAACAAAGAG
Molecule: RNA transcript, 1490 nt
Organism: Drosophila novamexicana
Lineage: Eukaryota; Metazoa; Arthropoda; Insecta; Diptera; Drosophilidae
Gene: Naa20A
Gene name: N-alpha-acetyltransferase 20
Exons: 6
Source: RefSeq, a predicted model, not a curated record